CACGUAGGGCGCAAGCGUUGUCCGGAAUCACUGGGCGUAAAGCGCACGUAGGCGGAUUGUUAAGUCAGGGGUGAAAUCCUGGAGCUCAACUCCAGAACUGCCUUUGAUACUGGCGAUCUCGAGUCCGGGAGAGGUGAGUGGAACUGCGAGUGUAGAGGUGAAAUUCGUAGAUAUUCGCAAGAACACCAGUGGCGAAGGCGGCUCACUGGCCCGGUACUGACGCUGAGGUGCGAAAGCGUGGGGAGCAAACAGG
Molecule: ribosomal RNA, 253 nt
Filed under: uncultured bacterium
Lineage: Bacteria
Description: partial 16S ribosomal RNA
Rfam family: Bacterial small subunit ribosomal RNA
Source: RNAcentral